GAUGUCGCCAGUCCGGCCCCGCGCUGGCAGAGCCCCGACAGGGGUGGCGGGUGCGGGCUGGGGCACCCAGGGAGGAUUCGCCUCCGGGGCGCUUCUGUCCGGCAGUGGGGGGCAGCCCCGGCGCCCUCGAGCAAGCCGAAGAGGGCACUGUGAGAAGCGUGGAGCAGGGACGGCCAUGCAGGCAGUCUGCAGAGCUAGUGGAUAGCAGAGAUAUGCCUCUACAGCGGGGAACGGGAGCUUCCCUCGAGGUGGGGGCUCCAGCCCCGUGCCCCGAGUGGGACGGGAGCAAGCUGGUGUCAGCGGAUCCCCCUGCCUCACCCAGCAGCAGUACUGACAUAUGGGAGCACUGUGUGUGAAGCACGGCUUCCUGUGAAGGCUACAGCAAGCCAAGGAAAGUUGCUGAGAUGUGGGUCCUGUUCUCAUAUCGAGGGGAUGUGUGUUUGGAAUGCUUGUUGGAACCGGGAGUGGGAAAGGGAAACGGGGAGAUACUGCAGGAAGAAGAUAGGGAGGUGAAGACAUGCUGAUCUCCUCCCUUCCUCUCCAUAUCUCCUUUUUUCCUUCUCCUUUUUCUACCUCUUAUCUCCACCUUUAAACUGCAAGUUCACAGAAUCUCAGUAUGGUAAGGCUGGAAGGGACCUCUGGAGAUCAUCCAGUCCAACCCUUGCUAAAGCAGGGGUACCCACAGCAGCUUCACAAUGUCCAGGUGGGAUUGGAAUCUCUCCAGAGAAGGACACUCCACAACCUCUCCGGGCAGCCUGUUCCAGGGCUCCAGCACCUUUGCACCAAAGGAUUUUUUUCUCCUGUUCAGGUGGAAACUCCUGGGUUCCAAUCUGUGACUGUUGGCCUUUGUCCUGGACACCACUGAAAAGAGUCUGGCCCCGUCCUCUUGACCCCUCCAAUUUCAGCUCUUGCUGAAAUCACAUCCUCAUUUAGGCUGCUCUUUUCCAGGCUCAACAGCCCCAGGGCUCUCAGCCUUUCUUCCUCACAGAGAUGCUCCACGCCCCUCGGCAUCUUCUUGGCUCCAUUAGUGACAUCUUCUCAGAGCAGCUGUUUGUGCUGUCACUAAAACACUAGUUUGUGGCCCCAGCUCUCACCAGCAUGUGCUAGAAUCAUGACUUUGAAGCAUGUCUGAUCCAGCAGAGACAGGCAGUGGAGACAAGCAGCAGCCUUGGAUGAUGGAAAGGUUAGCAUGUCCAGGCUUCCCCUAUCUCUCCAUAGCAUGAGGAGCUGAAGCUCUUGGGAUGGAGCUCCAAAGUGGAAGUGUAUGCCUCAACUUUUCACUUUGCCCUUUACUGCUCAGUUUGGAGAAAGAGGGCAGCCCAGGACCACAGGGGCUCACCUGCAACCUUCACAAGCCUUCUGAUUUCAGGUAGAAACAAGUUAUCAGUAAAAUUGCUUUGCUCUGGGCAUACAAAAAACAAAGGACUGUGGUAUCCAUCAAAGUGUCCGAAGCACGAAGGGCUGAAGCAUGGCUGCUGUUGGCUUGGCUGGGUGGGUCCUAUGCUGGGUCAAAAAUUGGCUGGAUGUCUGGGCCAAAACAGUGGUAAGGAAUGGAGUGAAAUCCAAAUGGUCACAAGGUUGUUCCUCAGGGAUCAGCACCAGGGCCAGUUCUCCUUAAUAUCUUUGUCAAGGGUCUGGAGAAGGUGGUUGAGGACACUCUCAGUAAGUUUGCAGAUGAUAUUAAGCUGGGAGGCAGUGUUAAUCUAAUAAGGGUAGGGAGGCUCUACAGAGCCUCUCUCCCUGAAGGUGUUUCAAAGAGAUGUGGUGCUGAGGGGCAUGGUUCAGCUCCAGCCUUGGCAAAGGUAGAGAAUGGUUGGGCUGGAUGACCUUAUAGGGCUUUAUCCAGCUGAAACAAUCCUAUGACUGUAUCACUGAUUUCCAGUCUUGGUGGGGACCCUGGAUUCACAGAAAAGUCAGCUGCCCUCUGAGGAGCCCAAGCUCUCCUUCCAACAGCUUGGUCUGUAAUUUUGACUGGAACUGUUGGUAAUAAUUGUUCUCAAACUUCUCUUAGCUCAGAAUGCAUUUGCUGAAGAGCAGUUUGUGGAAAUAAAUGCUUAGCACAACAGCUCACUGAGGCAAGCUGCACAGUUGUGUUUGAGGCAGCCAGAAUGCAGUCCAAUCGAUAAAUAAAGCCAGGGGAACUUGCCUCUUAUAUGCAAAAUAAAAUGCAAAGUAAGACACUCAAAACUCAUUAAUGUAUCUGCAGACAAUAAAUGCUUGUUAAGCAGUUCAGAGGAAGGACAGCUGAAGUGGGGCAGCAGCACCUUAGUACAGCCAGGAUCUGUGGAAGGAUCUUUUUGGGUAGAAGUCACUGAGUCCAUGAGACCUAUGCAGCACUGCUAAAGAGACAACUCCCUUUUUUCUUUUACAGACUACAGGAAAUGCCUCACUUCCCAAAUGGCAAAGUUGUUUCUUCAUUAGUGUCCUACAGCCUUGCUGGAUGAGCUGACUGAGGAAUAAUGGCUUGUGAAGGCGAGAAUUAACCAAACACUGCAGCAGGCUAUGUGAGGGGUGACCUUCUGGAAAGCAGCUCUAUGGAGAAGUACCUGGGAGUGCUGGUGGAAAAAUUCCCUGUGGGCCAGCAAUGUGCAUCGUGGCCAAGAGGGACAUUGGUCUCCUGUGGUGUGUGAAGAAGAGUGUGGUCAGCAGGUCAAGGGAGAUUCUCCUGCCCUUCUGUUCUGAUGUGGUGAGGACACAUUUGGAGUACUGGGUCCAGUUCUGGGCUACCCAGUUCAAGACAGACAGGGAACUACUGGAGAGUCUAGUGGAAGCUACAAAGAUGCUGAGGCAUCUGGAGCAUCUCUGUGAGGAGGAAAGGCUGAGAGCCCUGGGGCUGUUAAGCCUGGAAAAGUGCAGCCUGAAAGGGGAUCUGAUCAAUGCUCAGCAACAGCUGAAGUGUGGGGGGCAAGAGGAUAGCACCAGACUCUUCUUGGUGGUGCGCAGUCACAGGACAAGGUGCAGUGGGCACAAACUGGAACUCAGGAGGUUCUACCUGAACAGAAUGAGAAAAUUCUCUGGGGUGAGGGUGCUGGAACCCUGGAGCAGGCUGCCCAGAGUAAUUAUGGAGUCUCCCUCUCUGGAAAGACUCCAAACCCAGCUGGAUAUUGUGAUCGUGGGCAAACUGCUGUGGGUCCCCCUGCUUUAACAGGAGUGUCGGACUGGAUGAUCUCCAGAGGUCACUUCUAUCCCCCACCGUGCUGGGAUUCUGUGAUUCUACCUAAGUGUGAGGAAGGGAAACAAACUCAUGUGAAGCACUUGCAAGUGUGAUCUGUAGAGGAGCUCCAAACCACUUCAUAAGCCCUUAGAUACCAGCAGUACCUUGGGGAAUACUGGAGCAGAGGAUCAGCACAAGAAGAAGAGCAUCUGUGCUUCUGCUGUGGCAGCACAUGAGUGCUUAUCAGUUAAACUGGGGAAAGAUAGGAGCUCCCACAUCCAAAUUUACUUCUGGUCUGUAGUCAGACAAACCUGAGUUCUAACUGGGUGGAAUUUCCCGGGAGUAUGUGAACUAUAAAUUUAUCUUGAGCUGCUUACGCUUCCAUCUUAGGGUGAUCACAGGGAUUUUCACGACCAGUUAAAAGAACAAACAAGCAGAAAAGCAAGGUGUUUUACAAGGCAGUUUGUGAUCAUUCAUAUUGAGAAUAGGUCUCAAGAGCAGCUCUGGGAUCGUUUUGUGGCUUGUUUUCUACUCAAAUUAAUCCUUCAGAGUGAAACCAAAGGAGACCAUUUCAAUCCAGGAAGAAUUUUGCUGUGAAAGUGGCAAGUAAUUUUUAAAAGGGGACUAAAUUGAAUGUAUAACUGCAAUUUAGCAAUCAAUAUAAUGGAAUUUUCAGUGCAGCUGUAAUUGCUCCUCUGUUAAUUAAACAAGUUAUUUUAUAAA
Long non-coding RNA from Pogoniulus pusillus (Red-fronted tinkerbird), 3877 nucleotides. RefSeq lists it as uncharacterized. The transcript is spliced from 2 exons. The record is from RefSeq and is a predicted model, not a curated record. Lineage: Eukaryota; Metazoa; Chordata; Aves; Piciformes; Lybiidae.